This 253-nucleotide ribosomal RNA is filed under the name uncultured bacterium. RNAcentral describes it as "partial 16S ribosomal RNA". It matches the Rfam family "Bacterial small subunit ribosomal RNA", at positions 524 to 776 of the family's 1533-position model. The record is from RNAcentral.
UACGUAGGGUGCAAGCGUUAAUCGGAAUUACUGGGCGUAAAGCGUGCGCAGGCGGUUAUGUAAGACAGGUGUGAAAUCCCCGGGCUCAACCUGGGAACUGCCUUUGUGACUGCAUAGCUAGAGUACGGUAGAGGGGGAUGGAAUUCCGCGUGUAGCAGUGAAAUGCGUAGAUAUGCGGAGGAACACCGAUGGCGAAGGCAAUCCCCUGGACCUGUACUGACGCUCAUGCACGAAAGCGUGGGGAGCAAACAGG